AAGUCGUAACAAGGUUUCCGUAGGUGAACCUGCGGAAGGAUCAUUACCUAGAGUUUGUGGGCUUUGCCCGCUACCUCUUACCCAUGUCUUUUGAGUACUUACGUUUCCUCGGCGGGUUCGCCCGCCGACUGGACAAAAUUAAACCCUUUGUAAUUGAAAUCAGCGUCUGAAAAACAUAAUAGUUACAACUUUCAACAACGGAUCUCUUGGUUCUG
This 215-nucleotide unclassified non-coding RNA is filed under the name Ascochyta medicaginicola var. macrospora. RNAcentral's name for it is "partial internal transcribed spacer region". The stretch from base 1 to 46 matches the Rfam family "Eukaryotic small subunit ribosomal RNA", at positions 1786 to 1831 of the family's 1831-position model. RNAcentral also lists the same sequence under 1 other name. Lineage: Eukaryota; Fungi; Ascomycota; Dothideomycetes; Pleosporales; Didymellaceae. The record is from RNAcentral.